GCACUUCCAAAGUCAGGUGAAAAUGCCUAUAUUCGACAUGUCGGGACACCGACUAUGGCGAUAAACGGUGCGCGAAAUAGGCGUUACGGACCCGGGGGCAGUACCCGGCGCCUCCACCAUAACCGCAUGGCCCGGCUAAUUUGAUUGCUCGGCGGGACUUUUUGGGAGUGCGGUUUUGUUGGGGGCGACACAGGAUCGACGUGCGCGGUAAAGGUGUAUUUUUCGCCCGGCAUGAUACCACCGUUAUCGGGUCACAUUCACAAAUGCCAAUGACAACGAGGCAUUUGCAGUCGCCGCAUAGGUAACUGCGGGGUUCGGGGGGCACCUGGCAACAGAAGCCCCUCACU
RNAcentral lists this transfer-messenger RNA (347 nucleotides) under Alphaproteobacteria bacterium. It matches the Rfam family "Alphaproteobacteria transfer-messenger RNA". Rfam says of the family: Bacterial tmRNA, also known as 10Sa RNA or SsrA, is named for its dual tRNA and mRNA-like properties. Its role is to liberate the mRNA from a stalled ribosome. Lineage: Bacteria; Pseudomonadati; Pseudomonadota; Alphaproteobacteria. The record is from RNAcentral.